Temnothorax curvispinosus is the source of this 1277-nucleotide long non-coding RNA. RefSeq lists it as uncharacterized. Lineage: Eukaryota; Metazoa; Arthropoda; Insecta; Hymenoptera; Formicidae. The transcript has 6 exons. The record is from RefSeq and is a predicted model, not a curated record.
AGUCGACUUCUAGUCGACUUCUAAAAAUGACGGAAAGUCGACUAUAAAAAGACGGGAAACAGUCAAGCGGCGCGUCAUGCAUCAUCAAUAUGGCGGCGAAUCUCGAGGAGGCUGGAGGAGAAAAUUAGUGUUUACGCGAGUGCAAGGAAUACUUGCCGCGAGACAGGACACGAUAAGACGUCGAAAAGCGCCGCGCUAUCAACCACCGCCACGAAACGUCGUCGUCGUCGUCGUCAUCAUUGUCUUCCCGUUGACUUAUUCUCGAUUAGAUCAGAAUACUGGAAUUUGACUAAUGCGGUUACCAACCGACAUGGCGGAUCUAAAAGAGGAUCAGGAUAAGGCCAAAUGAAAACAUGCUUUAGAGGUUAGGUAUGAACACCAUCAGAAAUGGAGGAACCUGUGUUCAUGCAUUCUUCGUGCGUUCUACGGAAAAUCAGUCCGGAAUAGGUGGUUUAUAAAAAGGUGUACGAAACGAAUAAGAUGUAUAUGCGAGGGGUCACGGCGAUAGAACCCGAAUGAUUGCCGAAAUUCGCUUCCACGCUAUGCCAUCUUUGUGAACCAUUGGUUGAUCCACCGCCAAGAUAUAAUCAAGGAACCGGCAAGAUCACUUGCCGCGUGUCUGGUACAUUUGGAAAGGCCGGAUGGGCACUACCAUCGAUGGAUAUAGAGCAUCUGUGGACGGUGUAAAAUGGUUCGCGUAUUUCUUCUUGGAGGGUCAAGUGUACCCUAAGCUGAAACGAUUUGUUCCGUCGCUGCUGACGACACCUGGGAGCAUCACCAAGUCAUAGGCCAGGUUAAUACCACGCACUCGAGCAAUAGUACAAACGCUGCGGUCGCAGGGAGUCGUGUCCAAAUACAAACUGCUAGAAAUCUGGGGUUUGGAUGAAAAAUUUCUGUUGUCAGCUUACAAGAAGUGGCUGCCGGAAUCCGCGCACGUAGAAGUGGCACAGAUAUGACGGCACACAGUGGCCGCCUUUGUAAUUAAGAAUAAAACAUUAGGAUUGUAAUUAUACAGUUUUUUAGAUAAUUAAAUUAUUUUAUAUAUGAAAAAAAAUCGAAAUGCAUCAGUUUUAGCCUUCCAGCAAAGGGUCGAUUGUGUAUCUUGAAAUAAUGAGGUAAAAAUUACAAAAGUGAGAAAAUUCAUUAGCGUAUCUACGAUUUUAUUUAUCAAAAUCUAAUAAAAUCUGUUAACUUUUGUCAUUUUCACCUCAUUUCACGAUACACAACCGACCUCCAGACGUACGCAGCGGUUUAUUUUAUCGACUUUAAAAGUUGGC